UAAGAAAAGCCCAUAUGGUUAAGGUC
RNAcentral lists this non-coding RNA (26 nucleotides) under Homo sapiens (human). The record is from RNAcentral. Lineage: Eukaryota; Metazoa; Chordata; Mammalia; Primates; Hominidae.